Molecule: ribosomal RNA, 789 nt
Filed under: uncultured Halobacteria archaeon
Lineage: Archaea; Methanobacteriati; Methanobacteriota; Halobacteria
Description: bacterial SSU rRNA
Rfam family: Archaeal small subunit ribosomal RNA
Source: RNAcentral
CCCAAGUGAUGGCCGAUCUUAUUGGGCCUAAAGCGUCCGUAGCUGGCCGCGCAAGUCCAUCGGGAAAUCCACCUGCUCAACAGGUGGGCGCCCGGUAGAAACUGCGUGGCUUGGGACCGGAAGGCGCGACGGGUACGUCCGGGGUAGGAGUGAAAUCCCGUAAUCCUGGACGGACCGCCGAUGGCGAAGGCACGUCGCGAGAACGGAUCCGACAGUGAGGGACGAAAGCCAGGGUCUCGAACCGGAUUAGAUACCCGGGUAGUCCUGGCCGUAAACAAUGUCUGCUAGGUGUGGCUCCCACUACGAGUGGGUGCUGUGCCGUAGGGAAGCCGCUAAGCAGACCGCCUGGGAAGUACGUCCGCAAGGAUGAAACUUAAAGGAAUUGGCGGGGGAGCACUACAACCGGAGGAGCCUGCGGUUUAAUUGGACUCAACGCCGGACAUCUCACCAGCAUCGACUGUAAUAAUGACGAUCAGGUUGAUGACCUUAUCCGAGUUUCAGAGAGGAGGUGCAUGGCCGCCGUCAGCUCGUACCGUGAGGCGUCCUGUUAAGUCAGGCAACGAGCGAGACCCGCACUCUUACUUGCCAGCAGUAUCGCGAGAUAGCUGGGGACAGUAGGAGGACCGCCGUGGCUAACACGGAGGAAGGAACGGGCAACGGUAGGUCAGUAUGCCCCGAAUGUGCUGGGCAACACGCGGGCUACAAUGGUCGAGACAAAGGGUUCCAACUCCGAAAGGAGACGGUAAUCUCAGAAACUCGAUCGUAGUUCGGAUUGUGGGCUGCAACUCG